UUCCUUUUAUUCGUGAUUUUUUUUUCUUGUAGGACGGUGACAGUGACACAUCAUCGGCAUUAUCACUAGCUGUCGUUAUAUUAUUUGAUAUGUGGGACAUGUGGUCUUCUCUUAGUUUAAGAUUCUUAUCCAUCUCAAAAUUCUUGUUUUCUUUGUCCCUGCUCUUUUCUUUUGGCCGGUGCCUCUUUCAUUUCUGUGGAAAGAGUAGUCUUGAAUGAACUAGCUGAUACACGUUAAGACUUUCCCAAAUUUAAGUAUAAUCCUCAAUCAUCUUCACUUACACGUCUAGGAUUCUCGUACUUGUUUGUCUCUGUACUGACAUAAUCUGAUGGUUUCAGGGGGGGAAAAGGAUGGAAAAAAAUUGUUUACCUGAAACCUGUGGUAUUGAUCAACAGCGACAUCAGCAUUGCUGAAAUCCAAAAUUCUCCCUGGCGAAGACGACCCUGGAAAAGUAAGUUCCUUUCUCUUGUAUAAAUAAAUAAUCUGGCAUUUUCCUGAAAGGUGAUGAGAUUACUUACCGGGCUUUCUUGUGAAGGUAUCCCAUAUGCUAGCUCCUUUAUUCCCUUCAGUUGCAGCUCCUUCAAACUGAAAAGGAGAAAUUUGAUUAUCAAGAUGCUCUUCUAAGAAAACCAGACAGCUUCAGGAACACUUCUAUUGAGUUGAGAAGGAAAGAGAACUUGAUAA
This 684-nucleotide long non-coding RNA is filed under the name Linum usitatissimum (flax). RNAcentral's name for it is "long non-coding RNA (LUSI_LNC004480)". Lineage: Eukaryota; Viridiplantae; Streptophyta; Magnoliopsida; Malpighiales; Linaceae. The record is from RNAcentral.